RNAcentral lists this ribosomal RNA (395 nucleotides) under uncultured bacterium. RNAcentral describes it as "bacterial SSU rRNA". It matches the Rfam family "Bacterial small subunit ribosomal RNA", at positions 505 to 898 of the family's 1533-position model. The record is from RNAcentral.
GUGUCAGCAGCCGCGGUAAUACGAAGGGUGCAAGCGUUACUCGGAAUUACUGGGCGUAAAGCGUGCGUAGGCGGUUUGUUAAGUCCGCUGUGAAAGCCCUGGGCUCAACCUGGGAAUUGCAGUGGAUACUGGCAAGCUAGAGUGCGGUAGAGGAUGGUGGAAUUCCCGGUGUAGCGGUGAAAUGCGUAGAGAUCGGGAGGAACACCCGUGGCGAAGGCGGCCAUCUGGACCAGCACUGACGCUGAGGCACGAAAGCGUGGGGAGCAAACAGGAUUAGAUACCCUGGUAGUCCACGCCCUAAACGAUGCGAACUGGACGUUGGGUGGACUUAGCCACUCAGUGUCGAAGCUAACGCGUUAAGUUCGCCGCCUGGGGAGUACGGUCGCAAGACUGAA